RNAcentral lists this ribosomal RNA (2536 nucleotides) under Kudoa iwatai. Its description in RNAcentral is "eukaryotic LSU rRNA". It matches the Rfam family "Eukaryotic large subunit ribosomal RNA", at positions 1 to 2197 of the family's 3401-position model. Lineage: Eukaryota; Metazoa; Cnidaria; Myxozoa; Multivalvulida; Kudoidae. The record is from RNAcentral.
UUGACCUCAAAUCAGGCAAGACUACCUGCUGAACUUAAGCAUAUCAGUAAGCAGAGGAAAAGAAAACAACUGUGAUUCCCUUAGUAACUGCGAGUGAAGCGGGAUAAGCCCAUCGUUUAAUCUUCUUGGACCUAGUUCAAGACGAAAUGUAACGGUAUGGAUAGGUUCUCUACUAAGAAUGUCUAGUCAAAGUCCUCCGGAUUGAGGUGCCAUAGAGGGUGACAGCCCCGUAUGUGACUAGAUAAACUUAGGUAUGUGACCAAAUCCGAGAGUCGGGUUGUUUGGGACUGCAACCUAAAGUAGGUGGUAAACUCCACCCAAGGCUAAAUAUAGACACGAAACCGAUAGCGAACAAGUACUGUGAGGGAAAGUUGAAAAGAACUCUGAAAAGAGAGUUAAAAGUACGUGAAACCGCUAACGGGGAAGCGGAAGGCAGUGUCGAGAUUCUGUGAGUGAGAUGUUAUAUGUUUAUGGGUAUAUGUUGUUGUUGAUAAUGUGCCAAUAUACAUGUAUUAUCUAGCUUGGCAGAAUGCGUCAGAUCUAUUGGUAUUAACAUGAUUAAAUUAUUUGAUUGGCUUGUACGACGCCUAUAUACUUGUACUUGUACUUGUAUAUGGGUCCGUAUUUGUAAUAGAUAAUCCGUCAUGUGUACUAAUAUGUAUGUGAUGAAGCGUUAGUGAUUUAUUAUCGGUUGAGAGUUUGUAGUGCUGUGUAUUGAUUGCAGUGUAGUUAGUAUGGAGAAACUACAAAUUUUUCAACAACUAAUGCUAGUAUCUGACGAGAUACCUAACCUUCCGACCCGUCUUGAAACACGGACCAAGGAGGCAGAAUCUAGAGCAAGUUGGAGGGUGUAAAACCCGACGGCGUAGUGAAAGCAAUAGAUGAGAUCUACUAACUUUGGUUGGUAGCGCAUCAUCGGCCAGUCAUUAUACAAUGAUUGAGUUAGAGCUCUAGGUGCUGGACCCGAAAGAUGGUGAACUAUGCGUGAGCAGGGUGAAGCCAGAGGAAACUCUGGUGGAAGCUCGAAGCGAUUCUGACGUGCAAAUCGAUCGUUUGACUUGCGUAUAGGGGCGAUAGACUAAUCGAACCAUCUAGUAGCUGGUUCCCUUCGAAAUAUCCCUCAGGAUCGCUGAGACAAGUGAUAAACAGUUUCAUCGGGUAGAGCGAAUGAUUAGAGGAAUCGGGGAUAUAUUACUCUCGACCUAUUCUCAAACUAUCAACCGGUGAGAACAUUGUUUUUCUUGUUUGAAACAAUGUGUAUGAAUGUUGUUGUCUCAAGUGGGCCAUUUUUGGUAAGCAGAACUGGCGAUGCGGGAUGAACCGAGAGUCGAGCUAAGGUGCCUAAGGACACGUUGAUAGAUACCACAAAAGGAGUCGGUCGAUAAAGACAGCAGGGCGGUGGCCCUGAAAGUAGGAAUCCGCUAAGGAGUGUCUAACAACUCACCUGCCGAAUCGACCGGCCCUGAAAAUGGAUGGCGCUGAAGCGUGUCACCGAUGCUCGACCUCUACUACGAGAGAUGUUGGUAGAGGGUAGAAGGGCGCAGCGGUAGCGAUAAAGUACAAAGUGUAAACUUGUAUGGAGCUGCCGUUGGUGUAGAUCUUGGUGGUAGUAGCAAUUAUAAAAGUGAGUAAAAACCUUUUAGGCCGAAGUGGAGAAGGGUUCCACGUGAACAGCAGUUGGACGUGGGUUAGUCGGUCCUAAGCGGUUGCCUAACGGCUAUUUCAAUGCUGACUUGGUAAUUACGUGGUGAUUCAUGUAAAAAGUGAUGAACUGCGUAGUGUGACGUAGGUCAGAAUUCCGCGAAAGGGAAUCAGGUUAAUAUUCCUGAACCGGGCGAUGGAGACGCUUUUUGUCAGUAUUAUUCGUAAGAGUAGUGCUGCAAUUGGCUUAGCGGUAACGCAAACAAUCUCGGAGACGUUGAUAUCUAUGGCGGGGAGAAUUAUCUUUUCUGUAUAACAAGUCAACUACCUUGGAAUCGAGUCAUUCGGAGAUAAGGUAAUAAGCUUGGAAGAGCACCGCAAUUUUAUGCAGUGUCCGUACUAUAGAUAUCGGCCCUUGAAAAUCCGAGGGAGUGGUUAAAUUUCACGCCCGUCCGUACCGAAUCCGCAUCAGGUCUCCAAGGUGUGCAGCCUCUGGCACUGGAACAAUGUAGGUAAGGGAAGUCGGCAAAAUAGAUCCGUAACUUUGGGAAAAGGAUUGGCUCUAAGGGCCGGGCCAAUCGAGCUAGUAUUGCCUAGGCUAGUGGGGGUUGAACGGGGUCUGUCUAGAUGCAUGUAAAAGUGUUAUUUGGAUGGAUCUGGUGAAGCAAACGCUGGCCCUGGAAUACCUGUGUGAACUUGUGUUGGCAGAUUGAUUGUUGGUGUAGCAGUUUGCUUAAUUGUGGAUUGUUAUGCUGGCAAUUCGGGCUGUUGAUAGGGUUCUUUACGAGUGGCAAGCAUCGGUCAGCUUAGAACUGUUACUAACUAGGGGAAUCCGACUGUUUAAUUAAAACAAAGCAUUGCGAUGGCCGGAAACGGUGUUGACGCAAUGUGAUUU